GAUGAACGCUGGCGGCGUGCCUAAUACAUGCAAGUCGAGCGAACAGACGAGGAGCUUGCUCCUCCGACGUUAGCGGCGAACGGGUGAGUAACACGUGGAUAACCUACCUAUAAGACUGGGAUAACUUCGGGAAACCGGAGCUAAUACCGGAUAAUAUAUUGAACCGCAUGGUUCAAUAGUGAAAGACGGUUUUGCUGUCACUUAUAGAUGGAUCCGCGCCGCAUUAGCUAGUUGGUAAGGUAACGGCUUACCAAGGCAACGAUGCGUAGCCGACCUGAGAGGGUGAUCGGCCACACUGGAACUGAGACACGGUCCAGACUCCUACGGGAGGCAGCAGUAGGGAAUCUUCCGCAAUGGGCGAAAGCUUGACGGAGCAACGCCGCGUGAGUGAUGAAGGUCUUCGGAUCGUAAAACUCUGUUACUAGGGAAGAACAAAUGUGUAAGUAACUAUGCACGUCUUGACGGUACCUAAUCAGAAAGCCACGGCUAACUACGUG
This 497-nucleotide ribosomal RNA is filed under the name uncultured bacterium. RNAcentral describes it as "partial 16S ribosomal RNA". It matches the Rfam family "Bacterial small subunit ribosomal RNA", at positions 28 to 507 of the family's 1533-position model. The record is from RNAcentral.